GCUUAACACAUGCAAGUCGAGGGGCAGCGGGGAGGAAGCUUGCUUUCUCCGCCGGCGACCGGCGCACGGGUGAGUAACACGUAUGCAACCUGCCCCUGUCAGGGGGACAACCCGCCGAAAGGCGGGCUAAACCCGCGUACAUGCCACCGGGGCAUCCCGGAGGCAGGAAAGGCUUCGGCCGGACAGGGAUGGGCAUGCGGCGCAUUAGGCAGUAGGCGGGGUAACGGCCCACCUAACCGACGAUGCGUAGGGGUUCUGAGAGGAAGGUCCCCCACACUGGUACUGAGACACGGACCAGACUCCUACGGGAGGCAGCAGUGAGGAAUAUUGGUCAAUGGUCGGGAGACUGAACCAGCCAAGCCGCGUGAGGGAGGAAGGUACAGAGUAUCGUAAACCUCUUUUGUCAGGGAACAAAGACUGGGACGCGUCCCCGGAUGAGUGUACCUGAAGAAAAAGCAUCGGCUAACUCCGUGCCAGCAGCCGCGGUAAUACGGAGGAUGCGAGCGUUAUCCGGAUUUAUUGGGUUUAAAGGGUGCGCAGGCGGUCUGUUAAGUCAGCGGUCAAAGCCCGGGGCUCAACCCCGGCCCGCCGUUGAAACUGGCAGUCUCGAGUUGGAGAGAAGUAUGCGGAAUGCGCGGUGUAGCGGUGAAAUGCAUAGAUAUCGCGCAGAACUCCGAUUGCGAAGGCAGCAUGCCGGCUCCACACUGACGCUGAGGCACGAAAGCGUGGGUAUCGAACAGGAUUAGAUACCCUGGUAGUCCACGCAGUAAACGAUGAAUGCUGGCUGUCCGGGGGGGACUGACCCCUGGGUGGCGAAGCGAAAGCGAUAAGCAUUCCACCUGGGGAGUACGCCGGCAACGGUGAAACUCAAAGGAAUUGACGGGGGCCCGCACAAGCGGAGGAACAUGUGGUUUAAUUCGAUGAUACGCGAGGAACCUUACCCGGGCUCAAACGGGGAGUGACUCAGGCAGAGACGCCUGUUUCCCACGGGACACUCCCCGAGGUGCUGCAUGGUUGUCGUCAGCUCGUGCCGUGAGGUGUCGGCUUAAGUGCCAUAACGAGCGCAACCCCCGCGUGCAGUUGCUAACAGAUAACGCUGAGGACUCUGCACGGACUGCCGGCGCAAGCCGCGAGGAAGGCGGGGAUGACGUCAAAUCAGCACGGCCCUUACGUCCGGGGCGACACACGUGUUACAAUGGGUGGUACAGCGGGAAGCCAGGCGGCGACGCCGAGCGGAACCCGAAAUCCACUCUCAGUUCGGAUCGGAGUCUGCAACCCGACUCCGUGAAGCUGGAUUCGCUAGUAAUCGCGCAUCAGCCAUGGCGCGGUGAAUACGUUCCCGGGCCUUGUACACACCGCCCGUCAAGCCAUGGGAGCCGAGGGCGCUUGAACCC
Molecule: ribosomal RNA, 1394 nt
Filed under: uncultured bacterium
Lineage: Bacteria
Description: bacterial SSU rRNA
Rfam family: Bacterial small subunit ribosomal RNA
Source: RNAcentral